GACGAACCGUGCGAACGUUGUUCGGAUUCACUGGGCUUAAAGGGCGCGUAGGCGGGCGACCAAGUCAGGGGUGAAAUCUUUCAGCUUAACUGGAAAACAGCCUCUGAUACUGGUUGUCUGGAGGGAGGUAGGGGCCUGUGGAACUGCUGGUGGAGCGGUGAAAUGCGUAGAUAUCAGCAGGAACGCCGGUGGCGAAAGCGACGGGCUGGACCUCAUCUGACGCUGAGGCGCGAAAGCUAGGGGAGCAAACGGG
This 253-nucleotide ribosomal RNA is filed under the name uncultured bacterium. Its description in RNAcentral is "partial 16S ribosomal RNA". It matches the Rfam family "Bacterial small subunit ribosomal RNA", at positions 524 to 776 of the family's 1533-position model. The record is from RNAcentral.